GAUGAACGCUGGCGGCGUGCUUAACACAUGCAAGUCGAACGAUGAAGCCCAGCUUGCUGGGUGGAUUAGUGGCGAACGGGUGAGUAACACGUGAGUAACCUGCCCUUAACUCUGGGAUAAGCCUGGGAAACUGGGUCUAAUACCGGAUAGGAGCGUCCACCGCAUGGUGGGUGUUGGAAAGAUUUAUCGGUUUUGGAUGGACUCGCGGCCUAUCAGCUUGUUGGUGAGGUAAUGGCUCACCAAGGCGACGACGGGUAGCCGGCCUGGGAGGGUGACCGGCCACACUGGGACUGAGACACGGCCCAGACUCCUACGGGAGGCAGCAGUGGGGGAUAUUGCACAAUGGGCGCAAGCCUGAUGCAGCGACGCCGCGUGAGGGAUGACGGCCUUCGGGUUGUAAACCUCUUUCAGUAGGGAAGAAGCGAAAGUGACGGUACCUGCAGAAGAAGCACCGGCUAACUACGUG
This 466-nucleotide ribosomal RNA is filed under the name uncultured bacterium. RNAcentral describes it as "partial 16S ribosomal RNA". It matches the Rfam family "Bacterial small subunit ribosomal RNA", at positions 28 to 507 of the family's 1533-position model. The record is from RNAcentral.